This 371-nucleotide ribosomal RNA is filed under the name Ligilactobacillus aviarius. RNAcentral's name for it is "bacterial SSU rRNA". It matches the Rfam family "Bacterial small subunit ribosomal RNA", at positions 1 to 345 of the family's 1533-position model. The record is from RNAcentral. Lineage: Bacteria; Bacillati; Bacillota; Bacilli; Lactobacillales; Lactobacillaceae.
AUAAAUUGAGAGUUUGAUCCUGGCUCAGGACGAACGCUGGCGGCGUGCCUAAUACAUGCAAGUCGAACGAGAAUUUCUUACACCGAGUGCUUGCACUCACCGUAAGAAAUUCGAGUGGCGGACGGGUGAGUAACACGUGGGUAACCUGCCCAAAAGAAGGGGAUAACAUUUGGAAACAAAUGCUAAUACCGUAUAACCAUGAUGACCGCAUGGUCAUUAUGUGAAAGGUGGUUUUGCUAUCGCUUUUGGAUGGACCCGCGGCGUAUUAACUAGUUGGUAGGGUAACGGCCUACCAAGGUAAUGAUACGUAGCCGAGUUGGGGGACUGAUCGGCCAACACUGGGACUGAGACACGGCCCAUACUCCUACGGG